AAGUCGUAACAAGGUUUCCGUAGGUGAGGUUUGCCUGCGGAGUGCCCCAGCAGCGACGGAAAACAAGUGCUCCAGUCGGCCUGAAACGGCCGGCGACGCGUUCAACUCGUCUGGAAUCGCCUUUCGGGGCGUUAUCAGCAGCUCUGCGGAGCUCACAGAUCAAAUGAAUGCGGCCGCUCCCAGCGGUUAAGAUAUGAACGGCCACGCCUGUCACCAGCCGUGCGAUUAGCAUGCGGAACCUGCGGAAGGAUCAUUACUGAGAGGAGCUUCGUGCUCCAGGGGGCUUCGGCCCCCGCCUCUCAACCCUAUGAAAUACAUUCCAUUACCAAGCUUUGUUGCAUUGGCGGGUGCCAACGCCCCCGCCAGCAGCGCACCACAACGCGUUUUUAGUGUAGUCUGAGUGAAAUGAUAAAUAAGCAAAACUUUCAACAACGGAUCUCUUGGUUCUG
Molecule: unclassified non-coding RNA, 449 nt
Filed under: air metagenome
Description: partial contains small subunit ribosomal RNA, internal transcribed spacer 1, and 5.8S ribosomal RNA
Source: RNAcentral